AUACUUACCUGGCAGGGAAAAUACCAUGAUCACUAAGGUGGUUUUUCCAGGACGAGGCUUAUUCAUUGCACUCCGGAUGUGCUGACCUCUGCGAUUUCCUUAAAUGUGGGAAACCCGACUGCAUAGUUUAUGGCAGUGGGGGACUGCGUUCGCGCUUUCCCCUG
Molecule: small nuclear RNA, 164 nt
Filed under: Nomascus leucogenys (northern white-cheeked gibbon)
Lineage: Eukaryota; Metazoa; Chordata; Mammalia; Primates; Hylobatidae
Description: U1 spliceosomal RNA (ENSNLEG00000030738.1)
Rfam family: U1 spliceosomal RNA
About the family: U1 is a small nuclear RNA (snRNA) component of the spliceosome (involved in pre-mRNA splicing).
Source: Rfam by way of RNAcentral